UCUGCCCGAUAGUGGGGGAUAACCUGGGGAAACCCAGGCUAAUACCGCAUACGUCCUACGGGAGAAAGGGGGCUCCGGCUCCCGCUAUUGGAUGAGCCUAUGUCGGAUUAGCUAGUUGGUGAGGUAAAGGCUCACCAAGGCGACGAUCCGUAGCUGGUCUGAGAGGAUGAUCAUCCACAUCGGGACUGAGACACGGCCCGAACUCCUACGGGAGGCAGCAGUGGGGAAUAUUGGUCAAUGGGCGAAAGCCUGAUCCAGCCAUGC
RNAcentral lists this ribosomal RNA (264 nucleotides) under marine sediment bacterium BB0608_AND_4.1_1G10. RNAcentral's name for it is "partial 16S ribosomal RNA". It matches the Rfam family "Bacterial small subunit ribosomal RNA", at positions 125 to 397 of the family's 1533-position model. The record is from RNAcentral.